UCCUGGCUCAGGAUGAACGCUAGCGACAGGCUUAACACAUGCAAGUCGAGGGGCAUCACGGGAGUAGCAAUACAACUGGGUGGCGACCGGCGCACGGGUGAGUAACGCGUAUGCAACCUACCUAUCAGAGGGGAAUAACCCGGCGAAAGUCGGACUAAUACCGCAUAAAACAGGGGCACCGCAUGGUGAUAUUUGUUAAAGAAAUUCGCUGAUAGAUGGGCAUGCGUUCCAUUAGGUAGUUGGUGAGGUAACGGCUCACCAAGCCGACGAUGGAUAGGGGAACUGAGAGGUUGGUCCCCCACACUGGUACUGAGACACGGACCAGACUCCUACGGGAGGCAGCAGUGAGGAAUAUUGGUCAAUGGGCGGGAGCCUGAACCAGCCAAGUCGCGUGAAAGGAAGAAGGAUCUAUGGUUCGUAAACUUCUUUUGCAGGGGAAUAAAGUGCAGGACGUGUCCUGUUUUGUAUGUACCCUGAGAAUAAGGAUCGGCUAACUCCGUGCCAGCCGCAGC
RNAcentral lists this ribosomal RNA (512 nucleotides) under uncultured bacterium. RNAcentral describes it as "bacterial SSU rRNA". It matches the Rfam family "Bacterial small subunit ribosomal RNA", at positions 17 to 518 of the family's 1533-position model. The record is from RNAcentral.